GUAAUGCUUAGGAAUCUGCCUAUUAGUGGGGGACAACAUCUCGAAAGGGAUGCUAAUACCGCAUACGUCCUACGGGAGAAAGCAGGGGACCUUCGGGCCUUGCGCUAAUAGAUGAGCCUAAGUCGGAUUAGCUAGUUGGUGGGGUAAAGGCCUACCAAGGCGACGAUCUGUAGCGGGUCUGAGAGGAUGAUCCGCCACACUGGGACUGAGACACGGCCCAGACUCCUACGGGAGGCAGCAGUGGGGAAUAUUGGACAAUGGGGGGAACCCUGAUCCAGCCAUGCCGCGUGUGUGAAGAAGGCCUUUUGGUUGUAAAGCACUUUAAGCGAGGAGGAGGCUACCGAGAUUAAUACUCUUGGAUAGUGGACGUUACUCGCAGAAUAAGCACCGGCUAACUCUGUGCCAGCAGCCGCGGUAAUACAGAGGGUGCAAGCGUUAAUCGGAUUUACUGGGCAUAAAGCGCGCGUAGGUGGCCAAUUAAGUCAAAUGUGAAAUCCCCGAGCUUAACUUGGGAAUUGCAUUCGAUACUGGUUGGCUAGAGUAUGGGAGAGGAUGGUAGAAUUCCAGGUGUAGCGGUGAAAUGCGUAGAGAUCUGGAGGAAUACCGAUGGCGAAGGCAGCCAUCUGGCCUAAUACUGACACUGAGGUG
RNAcentral lists this ribosomal RNA (648 nucleotides) under uncultured bacterium. Its description in RNAcentral is "bacterial SSU rRNA". It matches the Rfam family "Bacterial small subunit ribosomal RNA", at positions 110 to 753 of the family's 1533-position model. The record is from RNAcentral.